Non-coding RNA from Salmo salar (Atlantic salmon), 54 nucleotides. The record is from Rfam. NCBI's taxonomy places the organism in Eukaryota, Metazoa, Chordata, Actinopteri, Salmoniformes, Salmonidae.
UGCAUUCACUACUGUAAGUCGCUCUGGAUAAGAGUGUCUGGUAAAUGACUCAAA